AAGCUCUGGAAAGCGGGCCGGGAAAACCGGCUCCACCGACGAUGUAAGCCCAGGCUCCUGGGUGAAUCUUUCAGGUUCCAAGACAGAGGGGGGCAC
This 96-nucleotide non-coding RNA is filed under the name Magnetospirillum gryphiswaldense MSR-1 v2. RNAcentral describes it as "Glycine". It matches the Rfam family "Glycine riboswitch aptamer". Rfam says of the family: This family represents the bacterial glycine riboswitch. Glycine riboswitches usually consist of two metabolite-binding aptamers domains with similar structures in tandem. Lineage: Bacteria; Pseudomonadati; Pseudomonadota; Alphaproteobacteria; Rhodospirillales; Rhodospirillaceae. The record is from RNAcentral.